RNAcentral lists this ribosomal RNA (7785 nucleotides) under Triticum aestivum (bread wheat). Its description in RNAcentral is "partial small subunit ribosomal RNA". The record is from RNAcentral. Lineage: Eukaryota; Viridiplantae; Streptophyta; Magnoliopsida; Poales; Poaceae.
AUGGAGUGGCUUGGAGCUGCUUCGGCAUCCUCAGGAGAGCAAACAAAAAGGGUGGGGGAGCCAAAACGAGAGCAAAACUUGGUAAAGGUGGGAAUGGACACCUGGAACCAGUCAUUCGGUGCAUCCUAUAAGAUCAGGUUUGUCCAUAUCCUUAAGAAUCUCCACACUUCGGAGGUCAAAAUCUACUCAGACGCGUCAAGGGAGUUCAUCGAGCUAUUGGACGGUGAUUCUGGUGGUGAGGUGCUACGGGACUAUGUCCAGCAGUCCCCGCGGCUCGUGGAGCUGAUGGAGGCAUGGCGGCUGCACCGGGAGAAGCCAGGGAUGGCGUACAUACUUUCCCUGUUUGCCACUGUCCUGGGCAACCCCGGUGGCAAGUCGCGGCAGCAUGCUUUUUCUAAGAAGUGCUUGGACGCCGUUGCUAGGACGAUACUGGAGGAUAAGGACAAGGUGGGGGAUGUGUACCGUGAACUCAACAGUGGCGAGUUCCGGCGCCAGAAUGCUGCAUUGGAUUUGCUUGCUGCCAUUGUCAGGCGUGGUGCGGGGCUGGCGUCGGAGGUUGCCGAGAGCUUUGAUUUCAAGAUGGCUGUUGUGACGCAACUGGCAGGGAUACAGAAGAAGAGAGGGGGCAGGGAUGGGAGGAAUCAGAAAAAAGGUGCUAAUUUUGGCUCUACAAGGCGAUCACUUGUUGGGUUUGCCAUGUCGUUCCUUGAGAUUGGGAACCCGAAGCUGCUAAGAUGGGUCCUUCAACAGAGGGAGCUUUACUCAGGGGUGCUACGCGGGAUUGGAGAAGAUGAUGCUGAGACUGUUGUGUAUGUCCUCUCAACACUGCGGGAUAAUGUUUUGGUAGAGGAGUCACUUGUCCCACCAGGGCUCCGCAGUGUCCUUUUUGGAAGUGCCACAUUGGAACAGCUGAGCUUGAUAUCGGGGAAUUUGGAUGCAGGUGAAGCAGCUGACCUUGCUCAUCAAGUGCUGGUCAUGGUCUGCACUGAUCCAAAAAAUGGAUUAAUGCCAUCCUCACAUUUGAGAGGUAACGAGAAACGCUUGCUGGAUCUGAUGAAGAAGUUGAAGUCUACUGAGAGCGUUCACCACAAGAAUCUGUUGCUGGCUAUUGUGAGUAAGAGGCUUUCUUUUUGCGCGGCAUACAUGAAUGAGUUCCCUUACAAUAUUGAACCACGGCCAUCCCCCUCUUGGUUUGCCGCCAUCUCCCUAGCAGCGGAUAUAAUAUCUUCAGCAAAAACUGAUAGCAUAUUUCAUAGUUUCCUGUCACAUGAUCUGGUAUCCGUCGAUGAUGAACAAGUACAGGUAGUUCUGAAGUGCAUCGUGCCCCAUGUAUGCUCUCGAGCAGUGAUAAAUAGGGGAUUGCAGCAUUCUGAUGAUCUUGUGAAGCAUGGUUCUCUGAGGCUUGUUUUUGAGUCAGUGAACCUACUGUGCUGUGUUACUGAAGCAAUCAAUGGUGUGGUAUCAAGUGUGGGAUCGACAUCAGAAUCCAGUAGCUCAACAAAAGGGAAAAUCAGAAUGAACAAUUUCCCAGGAUUAAGUUGUUCCACUGCAACGGAUGCAUUCUUGGUAGAUAAACUUAACCAGGGAGACCAAAUGCGUGUCAAGAGGUGGAUAUCUCUGAGAGAAUACAUUCAAGAUGAAGUGCGCGGAGCUAUUCCUGAUCCACAGGUCCUUCUGAAGUUACUUUCUUCUGCCAGUCAGAAACACCAAAAUUGUUCUCAGAGUAGACUUGAGAGACGUGCUCAGGCUUCUGAGCCUCCUCAAAAGAAACAGAGAUGUAAUGCUAUCGAUGAGGAUGAUGAUAUUAUUAUUGGUGGAAUUGAUGUUGAGUGGGCCAAGGAUGUAUCUGAAGAGCAAGACCAAGACUUGGCAAGCGAUCAUGCUACCACUCUGUGUGAGAUAUGGGGCUUAGAUAAGCAAGAUCUGGAGAUGAAAGAUGCAGAAGUGGUAGACAGUGUUUUCCACUCGAAGUUGCUUGAUGUUCUCCGGCUCUAUUUGAGGAUAAUGCCCAGCUCAUUUGAUGGAUCAUUUGACUUCUUUAGGGUUAUACCACCUAAUCCGUUGGAUCUAUCCAAGGAUGAGCAGCACUCCUUAUUGUCACUUUUAGUUGAGUAUUCAGGGCAACACGAGGGACAUUGGGACCCAGAGAGAGUUCCAGAAUCAAUGUACAAGCAUUUGCAACCACUGAUUGACAUCAUGUUGCACUCACCAGUUAAGAUCAUCCGUGAGCAAGCAUACAUUUUAGUUAAAGCUGCUCUAGCAAGUUCUGGUGCGUUUGAUCAGAACUUUGCGGAGAUUGAUGCAUGGUUAGUUUUCUUGCCUGGUUAUGAAGCCAAAUGGUGUGUAAGAGAGAGCCUAGGAGUUGGAGUAUCUAAUAAAUUGUCACAAAUUGUGAUCCCUUUCCUCUGCGAUGCUGUUUCAAUGGUUGGGAGCAAUUUGUACAAAUACCAAGAUUACAUGCGGAAGUUCAUCUCUAAAUCAGGCCAGCUUGAAGUCUAUUCUCCAGCUUUCAGUCCUCUGGUUAUUUGUGUUCUUCAGAAAUGCCUUAGGCUACUUGACUCUGAGUCUGGAGGUAUGAAAGUACAUGAGAAGUCGACAAUUUCAUUAUAUGUGUGCAACACAAUCUACCUUAUUCUGCAGUCCCAGGUAGAUGCUCAAUUAUUGCUUGACCUUAUUGGUGCUGUUCUGAAUCAGAGAUUUGAUAUUUUUUCACCGGAAGAACUACAGUCUAGGAUUUAUAUUGCUGAAUGGAGGCCAUUCAUUAAUUUGUUGCAUAUCUCUAGGAAUAUCUUGGACCAACAAAAUUCUAGUUUGUUCACAGCUGUGGAACAUUCUUCUGAACUUCAUUCAAACUCUUUGUCCUCUGUGAUUAGAAAGGUUCAAGAAAUGUUAAGCCAGCAACACACUAAUUUGCCAGAUGAUGUAGCGACUGCAUUCUUAUUUUCAAUCAUGUGUGCAGCUCCACAGGACAUUAUCUGUAGCUUUCCAGAGCUUCUUGAUGUUGUGAAAACACACUGUCCUUCUCAUAUGCAAUUCUUGUCGUCAGUUCUUUAUCUGCAACAUGAUUACCUAGCUGAAAUUGCUACUUGUUGGCCGGAUAUUUUCUUCUGUAGUCUCAGACAGAUCGAGGGUAAUCUUGAUGUUGAUGAGGGCAAAUGUCAAAACCACUCAAUUUCUGCAGAAUUACCUGCAUUGAGUACAUUCCUAAAUGUGACUCCGUUCUGUGCACUCUUACCUUCAGUAUUAAGCCUUGUGUUCUCUGGGCCAGCUAAAACUGGGGAGGCACAUGCAUUGCUACUUGAUGCACUUGUCCGACUUAUUCGAGCUAAGCUUUAUGAAAGCACAAUCAGUGAGCUGACAUUUAAUCUGAGAGUCAUAUUAUUCUGGAGCCAUCGCUUGCUGUUGUCAUACACUAGGAAGGGUUCAAAUGUUCUUGAAGAACUUUGCCAUGUAUGCUCCACUCUUGUUGAUAGCAUAUUUGAGCGCAUCCGAGUUUUGGCUGCUGAUACUGCUGACUUGAAUGCUUCAGCGGAAUGUUUCCAAGAUAUUGUUGAAUCGGUUCUCCACCAUCCUACUAUUGACCUGCCAUGUUCCUUAUCCAAUUGCCCGGACUUGACAGAUGGGAGUGCGGAACAUGUGGAAGAAGCAUUUACUAGUUUUUCAAAGGAAAAUCUGCACCUUGUAGAUGGUUUUGUUGUGAAUCUUCUUAGUAAACUAUAUGACCUUUUGCUGUUGGCUGAAAAUGAUGGUCAGUCCUUAGAGUCGCUGUUUGCUUCCCCAAAGGCCAUGCUAGGAAAAAUACUGCUGUUGUUCAAGGAUAAAUUUCAAGUCUGCAUGGACAAUGGAAACUUUGGACUGCUUUUGCCAAAUUCCUACAUGGUUCGGGCAUUGAAAAAAUUCAUGUCCCCUGUCAGACUUCUAGAACUUGUAAAUUGGAUGUUCUCAGAGUUAGAAAGUCGUGGGUCGAGUUGUUCAGCUGCAUUUGCCCCUGCUGCUUUUGUAUGUCUAUCUGUUGCUGAUAUUGCCAUGGAAUUACUGUAUGAUUAUCUACAACAAACUGAUCAGAGAUCAGAAUCCUGUCAAUUAUGGGGCUUGGAGAUUCGAAGUUCAGAUAUUGCCACCAUUCAGCGAGUAUAUCAUUUCAUUCUCCAUUUUACUGCUAAACUGAAUCUUGAAUCUGCUGAUGUUUGCUUGCUGAAGAUGUUGAUUCGUAUCCAUAAUGCAGAAAGAUCUGCAGGACAGAACACUGAAUAUACUGCAUUCCACAUGAUGUUAUCUACCAUGGCCACCAACACUCCCCUUAGAAUUCUUCAUCACUGUAUGUUUCCCACAUCUAAGGUUAAAGCAAAAGUUUUACGGUUGCUUUUGGAAGUAAGCCCUAUACACAUGAACUUUUUUGGCCAGAUGUUGAUGAAAGUUCUAGAAGAAGACACUUCUAUUCUGCAAGGCAUGGAUUACAAUUCUGAUUCUUCAUGGGCUCAUGCGGAUAGCUCUAUACUUCUGCUGCCUGCUGCUUUGUCAUACAUGAGGCAUCACAGUGAUGGCCAUAUGCAGUGUGCUGAAUUCCUUGAGCCACUUGCAAAAUUUUACUGUGAAAUGCUGUUAGGUGAUAAUGGGUUUCCAUGUUGGAAAAGUUUUAUUACUAGGACCAUUUUUGAGGAAAAUUUUGGUGACUUUCAACAUGAAUCAGUUCCAGAUAUGAUGGAUCAUUUCAGUGACACUCUCUUGGGGAAGUCUGUUACCAUGUUGCACUACUGCUUGUCUUUAAAAGAAAUGCCCCGGAAGCAACGCUUGGAAAUAGUUGCUUCACUUUGUCCACAAUCUUCUGCCCUAUUAGAUUUUGAUGUCAAUGAUAUUAAUCCUGACUCUCACAAAGGUCAUGUGAAGCUUACUAAUGAAUUGCUUGCAAAGAUAUCAUUGAUUAGGUUGUUGCUGUCUCCUCCCAGAAGAUUGUCGUCUAAUGAGACAGCAUCAGACAGGGAGUCCAAGAGAGUGAGCAAUGCUAAGCUGAAUUUCAUAAGCAUCUUGGUCAGAACUUUGGAUCAAAUACUCAGGAAUUUCCCCCGCUGUGAUGGCUUAUCACACUCUGAUAAACAACAAAGGGUCAUCUGUUCUUUGGAAUAUACAGUUCUCAAGAAUAUUAUCGAACUGUCUUCAGAGAUUCAAACUCAUCUGAACCAAUUGAAGUCAAUACCUUUCCUUAACCAAUUCAUCAGAUCAUCUCUCUUGCACAGGUUCAAUGAUCAUGUCACACUAAAAGCAAUUCGAUGUGUUCUUGUUGUAUUAUCAGAAGGGAAGUUUCCUGCUGAUGAAAUUCUUGAGCUCAUACUGGGCCACUCCCAUUUUCUGUCAUCAAUAACCUGCAGUGAAGUUUCUGAAUAUUCAUCUGCAUUUAAUGCUACAGGGAGCCUUCUACAGCCAGCACCAGGCAUUUUAAAAUCAGUCGAUUCUCUUUUCACUAAAGAAAACGAGUUCCAUAUUUGCAUAGCAGAAAAGAGAAAAAUAGAAAUCAUCAGAUUACUCAGGAUACUGUAUGAUAUUAAGAGUAGACAACAGAGUAAUGGCCUAUUGAAUGAAUCAAAAGAGCUAAGUUUCUUGCUUUUAUCUGUUUAUGGUGCAACUCUUAGCGAAACAGAUCUGGAGAUAUUUAAUCUUAUGAAUGAGAUAGAGUCACAUGAGUGCAAAACUAUCGCUGAAAUGGAUCAUCUAUGGGGGAGUGCAGCUGUUAAAUAUAGAGAAGAACUGAAACUAGAUUCUUCAAUAUCAGAAAUCCACAAAACAGAGAACACAGAAAGUAAUAGUAGGCGAAGGGCUCUAUUUCGGGAGAACAUACCAAUUGAUUCUAAGCUCUGUGUCAUGACAGUCUUGCAAUUUUGCUACAAAAGGUCUACAAGGACUUGUGUGUUCUCACUAGAACAGCUUCGUCUGGACAAAUUUGGUGAUAUUUUGAAGACAACAUCUCAAAGCACGGAUAUGGUUCGGAUUUAUGAUCCUAUGUUUAUCUUGCGUUUCUCGAUUCAUACUCUUCUCAUGGGUUACAUUGAGCCUGCUGAGUUCUCUCGAGUUGGUCUGCUUGCCAUUACGCUUGUUUGCAUAUCAUCUCCUGAUGAAGAAUUGAGAAAGCUGGGUUAUGAAUCUCUAAAUACAUUCAAAAAAUCACUCGAGGCUUCUCAGAAAAGCAAGGAAAAAUGGCAGCUCCAGCUUCUUUUGACAUAUCUACAGAAUGGAAUAUCCAAACCAUGGCAGAGGAUACCUUCCAUUAUUGCUAUUUUUGCCGCAGAAGCAUCAUUGACACUGCUGGAUAGCUCGCAUACUCAGUUCAAUACCAUAAGCAAAUAUUUGAUGAAUUCAGCCUCUGUCGAUAUGCAGAGCAUUCCAUUAUUUCCAACAUUAUUGAAGAGUAGUUCUGUGCAUUUCAAAGCUGAUCGAUUGUGGAUGCUUCGCUUAUUAUACGCUGGAUCAAAUCUAGCUGAUGAUGCUACGAUAUGCAAGAACAAAAGUGUUUUAGAGCUUGCUCUUGCCUUUUGUUCUUCAGCUAUUUCAGAUUCUGAAUCAAAGCAUUUAAUCCUUCAGGUGCUAAAGAAGUGUGUGAAGCUGCCAGUUCUAGCUCAGCAUUUAGUAAAAAAUUGUGGCCUUCUGUCGUGGAUAUCCUCUGUUAUUUCAACUCAUGGCAAAGGACUGGACAACAGCUCUAGUUCCAGAAUAGUUGGGUUAGCAUUGGAGGUACUCGAUGCUUUGAUCUUAUCAAGAUUCAUUACGGAAUGGCUCCAAGAAACUGCACUUGAACAACUGUCGGAAAUAUCUCAAUAUCUGUAUCUGCUAGUUGAAGAUGGAAAAUUAUUGAAAGGGGAUAUCACCAUGUUGAGUUCAAUUCUAAAUAUUAUUGCAUCUACAAUGAGGUUGUCUAUGAAAAGGAAGAUAUACCAACCGCAUUUUACUUUGUCCCUCAAUGGCAUAUUUAAGUUGUGCCAAGCUAUUGAUGGCAAUUCAAGAAGCAUCGAACUUAAGCUAUCAAUGGAACUUGGUACUGAUGUCGUCCUUAUGAACGGUCCUCUGCCAAUUAGUUCUGAAACGGAUAAGUCAAGAGCUGUGAUGGUUGUUUCAUGGGUAACUUCCAAUAUCUUCUGGUUGUGUAAACAAAAGUCUGCAGUUGAAAUGUCAUGUGAAGAGCCGCUAAACAACGAAUGUCUACUAUCAAAGAUAUUGCGUUGGUUAGUGGCUUCUGUAAUCCUUGGCAAAAUCUCCCGCAUCUCUCCUGAAAAGAGGGGAGGUCUUGCCACGAGCACAAAUAGUCCCGGAACUCUUCAGUCUUUCUUGAACCAUUCGUCUGAAACCGUUGAAAUGGUGGAUAGUCACGUUGCGGAUGAGGCGCUGGCUGCCAUUAUACUUUACCUACAAGGUCACAUGAAAAAGAAGAGUGAUACUUUGCCGUCAGUCGUGACGGCUCUUAGCUUGUUACUUCUUGACAGAUGCAGCGAACAAGUUUUGGUUGAUGGCCGUGGACAAAUCGAAACGCUUUGCUCAAAGAUACAUUGCCCCGCCGAAUCUAAUCCAGCAUGGAGAUGGCAUUAUUAUCAACCUUGGAGAGAUCCUACCUUGCAGCACACUGCGACAGAGCGAAUGGAAGUAGAGCAGUCAUGCCGAAGCCUGUUGAUCAUGUUUUCUAAUGCCCUGAACGCUGCUGGCUUGCCGGCAGGUAUCCCGGUGCUGUCAGUUGGUGACAUUGAGAAGUCUGGGCUGUUCCAGUGGGAAAGAGACUCGGUGGUUGAGCAGCCUCGCGCUUAG